AUUGAACGCUGGCGGCAUGCUUUACACAUGCAAGUCGAACGGCAGCGCGGGCUUCGGCCUGGCGGCGAGUGGCGAACGGGUGAGUAAUACAUCGGAACGUGCCCAGUCGUGGGGGAUAGCUCGGCGAAAGCCGGAUUAAUACCGCAUACGACCUGAGGGUGAAAGCGGGGGAUCUUCGGACCUCGCGCUAUUGGAGCGGCCGAUGGCAGAUUAGCUAGUUGGUGGGGUAAAGGCCUACCAAGGCGACGAUCUGUAGCUGGUCUGAGAGGACGACCAGCCACACUGGGACUGAGACACGGCCCAGACUCCUACGGGAGGCAGCAGUGGGGAAUGUUGGACAAUGGGCGAAAGCCUGAUCAAGCAAUGCCGCGUGUGUGAUGAAGGCCUUCGGGUUGUAAAGCACUUUUGGCGGGAACGAAAAGGACUGUGCCAAUACCACGGUUCGAUGACGGUACCCGCAGAAUAAGCACCGGCUAACUACGUG
Molecule: ribosomal RNA, 484 nt
Filed under: uncultured bacterium
Lineage: Bacteria
Description: partial 16S ribosomal RNA
Rfam family: Bacterial small subunit ribosomal RNA
Source: RNAcentral